RNAcentral lists this ribosomal RNA (614 nucleotides) under bacterium 79-L049642-122-014-G10. Its description in RNAcentral is "bacterial SSU rRNA". It matches the Rfam family "Bacterial small subunit ribosomal RNA", at positions 60 to 691 of the family's 1533-position model. The record is from RNAcentral.
AGUCGAACGAUGAAGCCCUUCGGGGUGGAUUAGUGGCGAACGGGUGAGUAACACGUGGGCAAUCUGCCCUUCACUCUGGGACAAGCCCUGGAAACGGGGUCUAAUACCGGAUGAUACUUCUCCUCGCAUGGGGAGAGGUUGAAAGCUCCGGCGGUGAAGGAUGAGCCCGCGGCCUAUCAGCUUGUUGGUGAGGUAGUGGCUCACCAAGGCGACGACGGGUAGCCGGCCUGAGAGGGCGACCGGCCACACUGGGACUGAGACACGGCCCAGACUCCUACGGGAGGCAGCAGUGGGGAAUAUUGCACAAUGGGCGAAAGCCUGAUGCAGCGACGCCGCGUGAGGGAUGACGGCCUUCGGGUUGUAAACCUCUUUCAGCAGGGAAGAAGCGAAAGUGACGGUACCUGCAGAAGAAGCGCCGGCUAACUACGUGCCAGCAGCCGCGGUAAUACGUAGGGCGCAAGCGUUGUCCGGAAUUAUUGGGCGUAAAGAGCUCGUAGGCGGUCUGUCGCGUCGGAUGUGAAAGCCCGGGGCUUAACCCCGGGUCUGCAUACGAUACGGGCAGACUAGAGUGUGGUAGGGGAGAUCGGAAUUCCUGGUGUAGCGGUGAAAUGCGC